UAGGGAAUCUUCCACAAUGGACGAAAGUCUGAUGGAGCAACGCCGCGUGAGUGAAGAAGGUUUUCGGAUCGUAAAACUCUGUUGUUGGAGAAGAACAUAUUUGAUAGUAACUGAUCAGGUAGUGACGGUAUCCAACCAGAAAGCCACGGCUAACUACGUGCCAGCAGCCGCGGUAAUACGUAGGUGGCAAGCGUUGUCCGGAUUUAUUGGGCGUAAAGCGAGCGCAGGCGGUUUCUUAAGUCUGAUGUGAAAGCCUUCGGCUCAACCGAAGAAGUGCAUCGGAAACUGGGAAACUUGAGUGCAGAAGAGGACAGUGGAACUCCAUGUGUAGCGGUGAAAUGCGUAGAUAUAUGGAAGAACACCAGUGGCGAAGGCGGCUGUCUGGUCUGUAACUGACGCUGAGGCUCGAAAGCAUGGGUAGCAAACA
Molecule: ribosomal RNA, 427 nt
Filed under: uncultured bacterium
Lineage: Bacteria
Description: bacterial SSU rRNA
Rfam family: Bacterial small subunit ribosomal RNA
Source: RNAcentral